GGUGAGAAAGGACAGACCAGAUGCCCACAGCAGCUGACUGAGGGAUACUGAGGACUGAGGAAACCAGUGGCAGGAGCCCAGCAUACCCACACUAGGUUCCCUAUAUAAAUGUAGGCAAGUAGAAAGCCUGCUCAGCAUACAGAAAAAAGCAACUGGUCACUAGCAAAUAGAGCCAAACCCUCAGUUAAAAAUAGGCUGGAUUUCAGAAUUCAGUCAAACAGGAAGAGGAGGCACAGACCUGGAACUUACAGAUGCUGUUUCAGGAUGGUGACAGCUACUCAAUAUGGGACAGUUUGGACCAGUGGAUAACUGAAAAUUGUGGCAACCCACAGAAUGCAACUUGUACUACUGUGUUUCCCAAAUACGUGCAACAAAUUCAUAUACAUGUAGCACACCUUUAUUUGGAAAUGAAGAAUAUUGCAUUUUUCCCAGAUGCUGAGGGCUUCCUCCCCUAUUUUAGUGCAACCAAGGAUGUGCGUACGUAUGUUGAGACGUGGCGAGGAUUGUGA
Molecule: long non-coding RNA, 509 nt
Filed under: Cyanistes caeruleus (blue tit)
Lineage: Eukaryota; Metazoa; Chordata; Aves; Passeriformes; Paridae
Description: lncRNA (ENSCCEG00000010451.1)
Source: RNAcentral